RNAcentral lists this ribosomal RNA (686 nucleotides) under Potimirim brasiliana. RNAcentral's name for it is "eukaryotic LSU rRNA". It matches the Rfam family "Eukaryotic large subunit ribosomal RNA", at positions 34 to 492 of the family's 3401-position model. Lineage: Eukaryota; Metazoa; Arthropoda; Malacostraca; Decapoda; Atyidae. The record is from RNAcentral.
UUAAGCAUAUUAAUAAGCGGGUAAGGGCGACUGAAAAGGGAUCUAGCCCAGCGCAUAACCUCGCGGUUCGUGCAGAGCCGACGAGGGGUGUUGCGUAUCGGUGGAUCCGUCCCGCCCGUGCUCUACCGCCUAAGUCCAAGUAGGAAUACAGCCCCAUGGAGGGUGAGAGGCCCGUGUGGCGGCGCCCGCAAGGGCUACUAGAGCGCGGGCGGAGGGAUCGCUUCACCGGAGAGUCGGGUUGCUUAAUAAUGCAGCCCUAAGAGAGGUGGUAAACUCCAUCUAAGGCUAAAUACAACCACGAGUCCGAUAGGCAACAAGUACCGUGAGGGAAAGUUGAAAAGGACUUUGAAGAGAGAGUUCAACAGUACGUGAAGCCGUUAGAAGCUUAAACGGGUGGAACCGCGAAGGUCGAACGAGGGCACUCACCUCGUCGGGCGGGCGGGGUCUGGGGCGCUCCGACAGGCCGGCGCCAAAGGUCCCUAAAAUAGUUAGAGCGCAGGAGCGCCCCGUCCGCGUCGUCCCGCUCCGGCGGGCGUAUUUGUCCCUCUAGUAGCAAACGCCGCGAGCCGUGGUGGGGACCGGCAGGCCCAAACAGCCCGGAUUGGUACCCUCGGUCUGGAGGGGAAACCGUUUGGCUGGGAAAUACACACGGUGCCCCCGCCACGGCGUGGCCCAGGGCAGCUCGG